This 247-nucleotide ribosomal RNA is filed under the name uncultured bacterium. RNAcentral describes it as "partial 16S ribosomal RNA". It matches the Rfam family "Bacterial small subunit ribosomal RNA", at positions 1257 to 1500 of the family's 1533-position model. The record is from RNAcentral.
GUGAAUGCAAGCAAAUCUCAAAAAUAAACGUCUCAGUUCGGAUUGUAGUCUGCAACUCGACUACAUGAAGCUGGAAUCGCUAGUAAUCGCGGAUCAGCAACGCCGCGGUGAAUGCGUUCCCGGGCCUUGUACACACCGCCCGUCAAGUCAUGAAAGUGGGCAGCACCCGAAGACGGUGGCCUAACCCUUGUGGGGGGAGCCGUCUAAGGUGAGGCUCGUGAUUGGGACUAAGUCGUAACAAGGUAAC